This 253-nucleotide ribosomal RNA is filed under the name uncultured bacterium. RNAcentral's name for it is "partial 16S ribosomal RNA". It matches the Rfam family "Bacterial small subunit ribosomal RNA", at positions 524 to 776 of the family's 1533-position model. The record is from RNAcentral.
UACGUAUGGGGCAAGCGUUAUCCGGAUUUACUGGGUGUAAAGGGAGCGUAGGCGGCGGGGCAAGCCUGAUGUGAAAGCCCGGGGCUCAACCCCGGGACUGCAUUGGGAACUGCCCUGCUGGAGUGCCGGAGGGGCAGGCGGAAUUCCUAGUGUAGCGGUGAAAUGCGUAGACAUUAGGAGGAACACCAGUGGCGAAGGCGGCCUGCUGGACGGUGACUGACGCUGAGGCUCGAAAGCGUGGGGAGCAAACAGG